GAUCUUCCUUGCUCUGAAGCUGCCUCUAUAAAGAUUUUUGAAUUGAACUAUGUGUUUUAGACUUUUUUUAUAAUCAUAGAUUCCUCUGUAAAAUAUUUUGAAAUCAGAUUAGAAUUUAACAUAAAAAUAGUCAAAUCAAAACAUUACAGUUUUCUUGAAGUCAUGCAGUGAGCAUAAAAUUAAAAGGGAAAUAGUCUCUUGUUAUAGGAUCAGAGAGAAGCAAAGCAGCACAUUUAAACUCUAAGUGUAUUUGGAACAUCAUUAUUUGACCAGGAGAGUUCAUCAUAAGGGUAUUAUAUAGGCAAUCAUGAAGUUAAGCACUCAUAGCUGGGAUUAGGUGGCACCAUUUUGAUAUCUCAUCCUGAUUUUUGCAAUAUUAGAGGGAAGUGAAAGGAGUUUUUACUAACCUCUUAGAUCUAAUACAAAAUGAGCAUCAAAAGCUUCCUUGUAGCAGCAUGUGUGAAAGGAAGAUGAUGUUACUGGCACCUCUUUCAGGAUCUUUUAAGAAAGAAUAUUUUUUGCUGAAAGGGAGACUGUGGUCUGUCUGCAAGACCUUUUUAUACUCAUAGAAGGUAUUAUCACAGUUGUUCCUGAAUUGAACAAGUAGAGACCUCUUCUGUUUUGCAAGAACACUAUGCUUUACUGACCAGAGAUUGGAUAAUUCAUCAACAGAGAAUAAGCAAUCAAGAAUUUAUAUAUUGGAUUGAAAGUAUCUAACUUCACAAUCAGCUAUGUGACUCCAAGAAGCCACUUGGCUUGCUCCAAAUUUUGCUCCACUUAAUAAGGCUGCAUAUGAAUCCCUUCUACAGGAAAGGUUUGAGAUUUAGUUUGUUGGGCAAGAUAACAUCUGGAAGGCCAUAUCAGCCCUAUGAUCUUGUGAUUUAAUAUUGAUGAAGCAAACACCAAAUUAUUGGCCUACCUGGGGAAAUUGUAAUCGAAGAGAACUGAUGGCACCUGAUCAGAUUGUAUUAAUUAGGUUCACAGUUUUAAAAUUGCUCAUGAAAUGAGAGACCUUUCCUAAUUUAGUAUUAUA
Molecule: non-coding RNA, 1033 nt
Organism: Monodelphis domestica (gray short-tailed opossum)
Lineage: Eukaryota; Metazoa; Chordata; Mammalia; Didelphimorphia; Didelphidae
Source: RefSeq, a predicted model, not a curated record